Molecule: ribosomal RNA, 506 nt
Filed under: uncultured bacterium
Lineage: Bacteria
Description: partial 16S ribosomal RNA
Rfam family: Bacterial small subunit ribosomal RNA
Source: RNAcentral
AGUGAGCGCUGGCGGUAGGCCUAACACAUGCAAGUCGAACGGCAGCACAGGAGAGCUUGCUCUCUGGGUGGCGAGUGGCGGACGGGUGAGGAAUACAUCGGAAUCUACUCUGUCGUGGGGGAUAACGUAGGGAGACUUACGCUAAUACCGCAUACGACUUACGGGUGAAAGCAGGGGACCUUCGGGCCUUGCGCGAUUGAAUGAGCCGAUGUCGGAUUAGCUAGUUGGCGGGGUAAAGGCCCACCAAGGCGACGAUCCGUAGCUGGUCUGAGAGUGUGAUCGUCCACACUGGCACUGAUACACGGUCCAGUCUCCUACGGGAGGCAGCAGUGGGGAAGAUUGGACAAUGGGCUCAAGCCUGAUUCAGCCAUACCGCUUGGGUGAAGAAGGCCUUCGGGUUGUAAUGCCCUUUUGUUGGGAAAGAAAUCCAGCUGGCUAAUACCCGGUUGGGAUGACGGUACCCAAAGAGCAAGCACCGGCUAACUUCGUGCCAGCAGCCGCCGUAA